Molecule: transfer RNA, 88 nt
Filed under: Deltaproteobacteria bacterium
Lineage: Bacteria; Pseudomonadati; Myxococcota; Myxococcia
Description: tRNA-Ser
Rfam family: tRNA
About the family: Transfer RNA (tRNA) molecules are approximately 80 nucleotides in length.
Source: RNAcentral
GGAGGGGUGUCCGAGUGGCCGAAGGAGCUCGCUUGGAAAGCGAGUGUAGGGCAACCUACCGCGGGUUCGAAUCCCGCCUCCUCCGCCA